CCCUUGUACACACCGCCCGUCACGCCAUGGAAGCUGGAGGGACCCGAAACCGGUGUGCCAACCGCAAGGGGGCAGCCGUCUAAGGUCAAUUCAGUGACUGGGGCG
Molecule: ribosomal RNA, 105 nt
Filed under: uncultured bacterium
Lineage: Bacteria
Description: partial 16S ribosomal RNA
Rfam family: Bacterial small subunit ribosomal RNA
Source: RNAcentral